This 675-nucleotide ribosomal RNA is filed under the name uncultured Bacilli bacterium. RNAcentral describes it as "bacterial SSU rRNA". It matches the Rfam family "Bacterial small subunit ribosomal RNA", at positions 66 to 725 of the family's 1533-position model. The record is from RNAcentral. Lineage: Bacteria; Bacillati; Bacillota; Bacilli.
ACGGAACCCUUCGGGGGGAAGUCGACGGAAUGAGCGGCGGACGGGUGAGUAACACGUAAAGAACCUGCCCUCAGGUCUGGGAUAACCACGAGAAAUCGGGGCUAAUACCGGAUGGGUCAUCGGACCGCAUGGUCCGAGGAUGAAAGGCGCUUCGGCGUCGCCUGGGGAUGGCUUUGCGGUGCAUUAGCUAGUUGGUGGGGUAAUGGCCCACCAAGGCGACGAUGCAUAGCCGACCUGAGAGGGUGAUCGGCCACACUGGGACUGAGACACGGCCCAGACUCCUACGGGAGGCAGCAGUAGGGAAUCUUCCACAAUGGACGAAAGUCUGAUGGAGCAACGCCGCGUGAACGAUGAAGGCCUUCGGGUCGUAAAGUUCUGUUGUAAGGGAAGAACAAGUGCCGCAGGCAAUGGCGGCACCUUGACGGUACCUUGCGAGAAAGCCACGGCUAACUACGUGCCAGCAGCCGCGGUAAUACGUAGGUGGCAAGCGUUGUCCGGAAUUAUUGGGCGUAAAGCGCGCGCAGGCGGCCUCUUAAGUCUGAUGUGAAAGCCCCCGGCUCAACCGGGGAGGGCCAUUGGAAACUGGGAGGCUUGAGUAUAGGAGAGAAGAGUGGAAUUCCACGUGUAGCGGUGAAAUGCGUAGAGAUGUGGAGGAACACCAGUGGCGAAGGCGAC